RNAcentral lists this non-coding RNA (743 nucleotides) under Lasioderma redtenbacheri. Lineage: Eukaryota; Metazoa; Arthropoda; Insecta; Coleoptera; Ptinidae. The record is from RNAcentral.
UAAAAGUUUUAUUUUAGCUUAGGAUUUAAUACAUUCUUUUAUUUAAAUGUAAAUGUAGAAUUUUAAAUAAUUUGAUAGGCAAUAUUUAGGAUUAAUAUAUAAAAUAAGUUUUGAAUUAGAAUAAGAAUAAUAAUAUUAACAAAACUUGUGCCAGCAGUUGCGGUUAUACAAGUAAUAUUUUUAAAUUUUUUGGAUUGAAGUUAAAUUGUUUAAUUUUUUAAAUUACUAUAAUAAGGUGAAAUUUUUAUGGUAUAAAAUUAAUUUAUAUAAAUUGAAGCUUUGAAAAUUUUAAAUUAAACUAGGAUUAGAUACCCUAUUAUUAAAAUUGUAAAAUUUUAUCCGUAUUAGUAAAAGUUAAAUUCUUAAAAGUAAAAGAUUUUGGCGGUAUUUUAAUCUCUUCAGAGGAACCUGUUCUGUAAAUGAUAAUCCACGAUUUAAUCAACUUAUUUUAUUAAUUUGCAUAUCGUCGUAAAUAAAAAUUUUAUAAGAAUAAAUUUUUAAAAUAUAAUUUUAUUAUAAAUCAGAUCAAGAUACAGUUUAUAAAUAAGAAUUAAUGGGUUACAACAAAUUUAAUUAAACGAAUAAAAUUUUUAAAAAAUUUUUGAAGGUGGAUUUGAAAGUAAAAAACUUUUAAAUUUUAGUUUUGAUUUAGCUCUAAAAUAUGCACAUAUCGCCCGUCGCUUUCAUUUAUAUGAAAUAAGUCGUAACAAAGUAGUCUUACUGGAAAGUGUGUCUAGAUAAAC